GGGUUAUACUGUCUCCUUUCUCUAAUCAGUGAAACUAAUCUCCCCGUGAAGAAGCGGGGAUAAAACUAUAAGACGAGAAGACCCCAUGGAGCUUUAAACCUAGCCACACCCCGAACCUUUAUACCCAGUUAUUAUCCGAACCCUGUAAGCUAGGCUUUAGGUUGGGGUGACCGCGGAGUAAAACAAAACCUCCGCAAUGAACGAAACUACCAUCUAAUCUAAGAAUUAUCAUUCUAAGAAUUAAUACUUUAACAUAAAUGAUCCAAUUAUUGAUCAACGGACCAAGUUACCCUGGGGAUAACAGCGCAAUCUACUUCAAGAGCUCCUAUCGACAAGUGGGUUUACGACCUCGAUGUUGGA
RNAcentral lists this ribosomal RNA (360 nucleotides) under Gephyromantis luteus. Its description in RNAcentral is "partial 16S ribosomal RNA". It matches the Rfam family "Bacterial large subunit ribosomal RNA", at positions 2008 to 2536 of the family's 2925-position model. Lineage: Eukaryota; Metazoa; Chordata; Amphibia; Anura; Mantellidae. The record is from RNAcentral.